This 253-nucleotide ribosomal RNA is filed under the name uncultured bacterium. Its description in RNAcentral is "partial 16S ribosomal RNA". It matches the Rfam family "Bacterial small subunit ribosomal RNA", at positions 524 to 776 of the family's 1533-position model. The record is from RNAcentral.
UACGUAGGGUGCAAGCGUUGUCCGGAAUUAUUGGGCGUAAAGAGCUCGUAGGCGGUCUGUCGCGUCGGCUGUGAAAACCCGGAGCUCAACUCCGGGCCUGCAGUCGAUACGGGCAAACUGGAGUGUUGCAGGGGAGACUGGAAUUCCUGGUGUAGCGGUGAAAUGCGUAGAUAUCUGGAGGAACACCGGUGGCGAAGGCGGCAUCCUGGACCGACACUGACGCUGAGGAGCGAAAGCCAGGGGAGCAAACGGG